This 72-nucleotide transfer RNA is filed under the name Marmota marmota marmota (Alpine marmot). It matches the Rfam family "tRNA". From Rfam's summary of the family: Transfer RNA (tRNA) molecules are approximately 80 nucleotides in length. Their secondary structure includes four short double-helical elements and three loops (D, anti-codon, and T loops). RNAcentral also lists the same sequence under 1 other name. The record is from Rfam by way of RNAcentral. Lineage: Eukaryota; Metazoa; Chordata; Mammalia; Rodentia; Sciuridae.
UGGGGUGUGGCUCAGCGGUAAAGCACUUGCCUCCCACGUGUGAGGCACUGGGUUUCAUCCUCAGCACCACAU